This 1033-nucleotide long non-coding RNA is filed under the name Bos indicus x Bos taurus (hybrid cattle). RNAcentral describes it as "lncRNA (ENSBIXG00000009248.1)". Lineage: Eukaryota; Metazoa; Chordata; Mammalia; Artiodactyla; Bovidae. The record is from RNAcentral.
GCGUGCCUUCCUUCCCGGCUUUCGGAGGUACCCCCAAUCCAAUCCCACUCUGUCCUCUCCUUUGCCUCGACGCCAAAGUCCUUAGCACCAGCCCGGCAUGUACACGGUCCGGCGAGGGGCCGAGGGCUCUGCGCUCCAGGGCCUGGGCAGCAGAGAGGAGACCGGGGGUCAGGGGCCAAGGGGACGGAGCCUGAACUCCGGGUCCUCUCUGGGCAUUGCCCCGCGCGUGCCCUUGGCAGUGCAGCUUGGUCACGCUCGCUGAAUACGUUCCAGUCUCUGUCCGGAACGCUCCGGGGACUUUGGUUUGCACCUAGAGCUCCUUUUGUGUUCUCUGGAAGCGCGGCCCCUCUCCCCCUACCCCUCACUCCUUCCUUGAAGCACCUGGUUCCCGGAGCCGACAGCAUCCCCUCUGCCCUGCGCCCCUCUUCCGCAGCUCCGGGCGGAGAACCGACUGUCCGCAGGCCGUGGCAACCCCCUACAUGUCCACCAGAUGGCGCUCCAGGCCAGGGGCCGAGCGGCGGCCGGACAGCCCGCCCCCGGGCUGCAGCCUACCUUGGACCUAGAGCCGCGGCAGGAUCCGCUCCGAGACUGGGCCGCAGGCCCAGGGGGUGGGCGCAGGCCGCUGAGAGAUCGAGGCGCUCCGCGCACCCGAAGGAAACUCCAGACAGAGGAGGCAGACACAAGGAUGGGACUGCCCGAGGCUCGGGAUGGGGUCCUGAGCACUUCCGGAACCGGCUGGCUCCAGCUGCCUCCAGCAUCCUUGUGGGAUGUGGUUCCUCCCCCCAUCCAAGCCGGAUUGCACCUUGGUACAAGCUGCGGCAGAGGCGUAGCUUGAUGGAGGGUAGAUUGGGCAGCCAGCACCGCGGUUUAUUCACUGACUGUGACUUCUUCAAAAGAGACAAGGGGAUACUCAUGGAGGACAUUCAGGGUGUUCAUGAUGAAUCCCCAUUUCACAGCCGAUGACAGUGAGGUUCAGGGAGGUGACGUGACGUGCCCCCAAGCCAUCCAGUAAAUAAAGAAGAGUUCUUUCACA